This 354-nucleotide ribosomal RNA is filed under the name uncultured bacterium. RNAcentral describes it as "bacterial SSU rRNA". It matches the Rfam family "Bacterial small subunit ribosomal RNA", at positions 8 to 350 of the family's 1533-position model. The record is from RNAcentral.
AGAGUUUGAUCAUGGCUCAGGAUGAACGCUAGCUACAGGCUUAACACAUGCAAGUCGAGGGGAAACGACAUCGAAAGCUUGCUUUUGAUGGGCGUCGACCGGCGCACGGGUGAGUAACGCGUAUCCAACCUGCCCAUCACUUGGGGAUAACCUUGCGAAAGUAAGACUAAUACCCAAUGGCGUCUCUAGAAGACAUCUGAAAGAGAUUAAAGAUUUAUCGGUGAUGGAUGGGGAUGCGUCUGAUUAGCGUUGUUGGCGGGGUAACGGCCACCAAGGCGACGAUCGAGUAGGGGUUCUGAGAGGAAGGUCCCCCANAUUGGAACUGAGACACGGUCCAAACUCCUACGGGAGGCA